Molecule: ribosomal RNA, 510 nt
Filed under: uncultured bacterium
Lineage: Bacteria
Description: partial 16S ribosomal RNA
Rfam family: Bacterial small subunit ribosomal RNA
Source: RNAcentral
GACGAACGCUGGCGGCGUGCUUAACACAUGCAAGUCGAACGAAAAGCGAUGGAAGCUUGCUUCUACCACUCUUAGUGGCGGACGGGUGAGUCACGCGUAAUCAACCUGCCCUUCAGAGGGGGACAACAGAUGGAAACGACUGCUAAUACAGCAUACGCUCUAAUCUCGGCAUCGAGGAUAGAUGAAAGGUGGCCGCUACAUGUAAGCUAUCACUGAAGGAGGGGAUUGCGUCUGAUUAGCUAGGUGGAGGGGUAACGGCCCACCAAGGAGAUGAACAGUAGCCGGGUGUGGAGGAUGGACGGGCAAAUGGGGACUGGGGCACGGGCCAGACUCCUACGGGAGGGAGCAGGGGGGAAUCUUCCGAAAUGGAGGAAAGGCUGACGGAACAACGCCGGGGGAGUGAUGGAGGGCUUCGGGGUGUAAAGCUCUGUUAAUCGGGACGAAAGGCCUUCGUGCGAAUAGUGAGAAGGAUUGACGGUACCGGAAUAGAAAGCCACGGCUAACUACGUG